AUUGAACGCUGGCGGCAUGCUUUACACAUGCAAGUCGAACGGUAACAGGCCGCAAGGUGCUGACGAGUGGCGAACGGGUGAGUAAUGCAUCGGAACGUGCCCAGUCGUGGGGGAUAACGCAGCGAAAGCUGUGCUAAUACCGCAUACGAUCUAUGGAUGAAAGCGGGGGACCGUAAGGCCUCGAGCGAGUGGAGCGGCCGAUGUCCGAUUAGGUAGUUGGUGGGGUAAAGGCUCACCAAGCCAACGAUCUGUAGCUGGUCUGAGAGGACGACCAGCCACACUGGGACUGAGACACGGCCCAGACUCCUACGGGAGGCAGCAGUGGGGAAUUUUGGACAAUGGGCGCAAGCCUGAUCCAGCAAUGCCGCGUGCAGGAAGAAGGCCUUCGGGUUGUAAACUGCUUUUGUACGGAACGAAACGGCGAGCUCUAAUACAGUUUGCUAAUGACGGUACCGUAAGAAUAAGCACCGGCUAACUACGUGCCAGCCGCCGCCGUAA
This 498-nucleotide ribosomal RNA is filed under the name uncultured bacterium. RNAcentral describes it as "partial 16S ribosomal RNA". It matches the Rfam family "Bacterial small subunit ribosomal RNA", at positions 30 to 523 of the family's 1533-position model. The record is from RNAcentral.